UACGUAGGCAGCGAGCGUUGUUCGGAAUUACUGGGCGUAAAGAGUGUGUAGGCGGUGCUCUAAGUUCGGUGUGAAAUCUCCCGGCUUAACUGGGAGGGUGCGCCUGAAACUGGAGUGCUCGAGCGUGGGAGAGGAAAGCGGAAUUCCUGGUGUAGCGGUGAAAUGCGUAGAUAUCAGGAGGAACACCUGCGGUGUAGACGGCUUUCUGGACCAUUGCUGACGCUGAGACACGAAAGCGUGGGUAGCAAACAGG
This 253-nucleotide ribosomal RNA is filed under the name uncultured bacterium. RNAcentral describes it as "partial 16S ribosomal RNA". It matches the Rfam family "Bacterial small subunit ribosomal RNA", at positions 524 to 776 of the family's 1533-position model. The record is from RNAcentral.